RNAcentral lists this ribosomal RNA (433 nucleotides) under uncultured bacterium. RNAcentral's name for it is "partial 16S ribosomal RNA". It matches the Rfam family "Bacterial small subunit ribosomal RNA", at positions 29 to 507 of the family's 1533-position model. The record is from RNAcentral.
AGCGAACGCUGGCGGCAGGCCUAACACAUGCAAGUCGAACGAACUCUUCGGAGUUAGUGGCGGACGGGUGAGUAACACGUGGGAACGUGCCUUUUGGUUCGGAAUAACUCAGGGAAACUUGUGCUAAUACCGAAUGUGCCCUUCGGGGGAAAGAUUUAUCGCCAUUAGAGCGGCCCGCGUCUGAUUAGCUAGUUGGUGAGGUAACGGCUCACCAAGGCGACGAUCAGUAGCUGGUCUGAGAGGAUGACCAGCCACACUGGGACUGAGACACGGCCCAGACUCCUACGGGAGGAAGCAGUGGGGAAUCUUGCGCAAUGGGCGAAAGCCUGACGCAGCCAUGCCGCGUGAAUGAUGAAGGUCUUAGGAUCGUAAAAUUCUUUCACCGGGGACGAUAAUGACGGUACCCGGAGAAGAAGCCCCGGCUAACUUCGUG